This 68-nucleotide microRNA precursor is filed under the name Dryobates pubescens (Downy woodpecker). RNAcentral describes it as "Picoides pubescens (downy woodpecker) mir-8/mir-141/mir-200 microRNA precursor family". It matches the Rfam family "mir-8/mir-141/mir-200 microRNA precursor family". Rfam says of the family: The bounds of the precursors are predicted based on conservation and base pairing and are not generally known. The record is from Rfam by way of RNAcentral. Lineage: Eukaryota; Metazoa; Chordata; Aves; Piciformes; Picidae. RNAcentral also lists the same sequence under 2 other names.
AUUACCAUCUUACUGGGCAGCAUUGGAUGUUUUCUGUCUUUCUAAUACUGCCUGGUAAUGAUGAUGAU